Long non-coding RNA from Cyprinus carpio (common carp), 2305 nucleotides. RefSeq lists it as uncharacterized. Lineage: Eukaryota; Metazoa; Chordata; Actinopteri; Cypriniformes; Cyprinidae. The record is from RefSeq and is a predicted model, not a curated record. The transcript is spliced from 14 exons.
GCACUUCCGACCGAGGCUCGCGUUUCUUAACAAGACCGAGCGUGUACAAUCACAUGACAGUCAACAACGUGAUGCCUGCUGAAAUCAAUUAUCUAAGUGAAUUUGCAAGGUCUGCGGUCACUAGAAUGAGGGGGCUACGGAGAAUCCAAUAAUGUCUGUUUGGAGGAGCAGGCUUGUUUUUUGGCCCCUGACAACACAAUUACAGCCCCGCCGAUUGUCGUGUGUGUGCAUUAAGUACCUCCCCCAGAAUGAGGCCGAUUAAUGAAGGGGCUCCUCGGGGCCGAAGAAGAAGCCCCAGGCACCCACACAGAGGAGAGGAACUGUUGGAACACAUGCUCCAUACUGUAUUAAUGCAGGGCCACCCUUCAAGAUCUAGUCCAAGUUGCUCGAGAUCUAGUCAAACCCAGGCCUGAGAAAAAAGAUGUGAAUAUGUCCUCUUGCCAAUCCUGAGAGACAGAAAACUGUAUCAUACUCAAUACUCCAGCCACAGUCAAGGCUGGUACCACACUGAAACGCUUAGCAGUCCUGCCAGUGUAAAGGUUAAGCUUGACAUUGUCUUUCUCCAGUCAUUGAUUCUGUAGGGAAAAGAGAAGCAAGAACAUUUUACUAAAGUUCUCCUUUAGCUUUCUGCAUGAGAAUGUGAGGGAGCAACAUGAGGUGCAUAUUUGGGCAAGGAGGAAAAGAGAAUGAUAUCCCACGUCACAAGUCUCUAUCUGCUCCACCAGGACCGUUGAACACUUUAAUAAGGUUUUUGUUUUAGUUUUAAGGCUCAGUUGAAGGUGUACAUUUCCUCACUGCAUUCAAUCAGUUUCAAAUCUGAUCAAUGGAAUGACACUGUGUCCAUGCAUGACCAGUAAUAGUAGCAUGAAGAACGGCAAGCAAAGGCCCAACCUUGAUGAAGCUGUCAGGGCUGGAAGACACACGAGGGGUUAGACGUACGCUUUCAAACACGCGUGACCUCACGCUGAUGAGCCUAAUUUACACAUCCUCAAGGCCUUUCCCCUGAGCCCACCAAUCACAAUACCCUCCCACUUGACCUGCGACCCUCCACGGGGGUCUCCCAUUGGCUGCGUAGUGAAAGGAAAGAGGGAGACAUCCCUGCUGCUCAUCUCCAUCACAAUGGCAGCAUAUGUUUGUGGGCAUUUGAGCGCAUGGAGCUGGCAGAGUCCAUAUUAGACUGACGACAGAGACCAGGUGCCUGAACCCCACACACUCGGAGACUAAAGAGAAAGUCAACACUGUUUCCUUGUGAACAGCCAUGGAAGUGAGGUGAAAGGGAGCGAGGAGGAAGUGAGGGUAAAGGCAAGUUUAGCUUGCAGAGCAGGCUCUACCUCUAUCAUGGGCCAGGCAGCUGCCGGACCCAUCCAGGGGCAUCACUCACCACUAAUGAACAUAUCAGUCCAGUCCAAGCACUCUCCCAGACGCUCCUCACGCAGCCAUGAAGAAGAGGGGUGAGGAAAGGCUAACCGAGUUAGCCGUUCUCAAGCGGCUUGGACGGAGAAGACAGAUUGAGGAUGAUGCAAAUGGAGCUCACAGCAUUGAUCCAGACACACCCGGCUCCUCGUCAUCCAUCAUAAGACCAACGCUCCCCUCACGCUGCUCAAGGUCCACGCGUCCUCCUUUCCGCUUUUAGCCACCCAGGACUAUCAGCUAGAUGCUUGAUGGAUUCCCAGGGAGGCCGUGCUUGGAUUUAAUUCUGUACAAAUGUCAAGCAUAUUGGCAGCAUAUUUAGUUAUGAUCAACACCUGGAUGAAAACCAGUGACCUCUGGCUGUGUGGAAGUGCUGCUCAGUGCCCUGGGGAAAGAGAGGCCUGCAUGCUGUCUAAACCUGCUGAGAUGCAUUCACAGCUAAGAAAGAGAGAGCACAGUCUAGACAUUGAAAAUGCAGACUCAAUAUUUCUGGGAACAGGAGCAAGAGAGGAAGUUCGAGUACAUAAAACUGAGGUUACAGUAUGCAGAGAAAAAUGUGUUUCCCAGACGAAUGCCUGCUGGUUUUGGAUUCGGGAAACAGAAUCACAGAGGUAUGUGAGAGUUUGAGCCGCUGAAUGCAAAAGCUCAAAGUUUCAGAAAGCACCACACAUUGAUUGUGGGAUGGUAAAAAGAACGAUUUUCCAGUUAGUGCCCGUCUACAGCUUCCCAUUUUGCUUGGAUGCUGUCAUCAAUAUAAUGUGCUCAGUUGCUGGCUCACUGAUAUUUAUGGCUUUGGUGCUACAGGGUUGAGCCCCUGCCCUGUGUCUGCUGGAGUGAACAUGAAUGAGAUAAGCUCUCAAACUGUGGAGUGUUCACUAGAGAAACUUUUUACCAU